UCCAGACUCCUACGGGAGGCAGCAGUGGGGAAUAUUGCACAAUGGGGGAAACCCUGAUGCAGCGACGCCGCGUGAGUGAAGAAGUAUUUCGGUAUGUAAAGCUCUAUCAGCAGGGAAGAAAAUGACGGUACCUGACUAAGAAGCCCCGGCUAACUACGUGCCAGCAGCCGCGGUAAUACGUAGGGGGCAAGCGUUAUCCGGAUUUACUGGGUGUAAAGGGAGCGUAGACGGCAUGGCAAGUCAGAUGUGAAAGCCCGGGGCUCAACCCCGGGACUGCAUUUGAAACUGUCAGGCUGGAGUGCAGGAGAGGUAAGUGGAAUUCCUAGUGUAGCGGUGAAAUGCGUAGAUAUUAGGAGGAACACCAGUGGCGAAGGCGGGCUGCUGGACAGCAACUGACGGUGAGGCGCGAAAGCGUGGGGAGCAAACAGGAUUAGAUACCCGAGUAUA
Molecule: ribosomal RNA, 447 nt
Filed under: uncultured bacterium
Lineage: Bacteria
Description: bacterial SSU rRNA
Rfam family: Bacterial small subunit ribosomal RNA
Source: RNAcentral